CAGCAGCCACGGGAAUACGAGGGGGGCAAGCGUUGUUCGGAAUUAUUGGGCGUAAAGGGUGCGUAGGCGGUUUGACAAGUCUUAUGUGAAAUCUCUGGGCUCAACCCAGAGUCUGCAUGGGAAACUGUCGGGCUUGAGUAUGGGAGAGGUGAGUGGAAUUUCCGGUGUAGCGGUGAAAUGCGUAGAUAUCGGAAGGAACACCAGUGGCGAAGGCGACUCUCUGGUCUGUAACUGACGCUGAGGAGCGAAAGCGUGGGGAGCGAACAGGAUUAGAUACCCGUGUAGUCCCUGUCUCUUAUAC
This 301-nucleotide ribosomal RNA is filed under the name uncultured bacterium. RNAcentral describes it as "partial 16S ribosomal RNA". It matches the Rfam family "Bacterial small subunit ribosomal RNA", at positions 509 to 807 of the family's 1533-position model. The record is from RNAcentral.